AACCUAGCACACCUGCGGUGUGUACCUGCGGAGGGAUCAUUACCGUAACGCGGCGGUCCGGCAACCGCAAGGAAGUCGGCCGCCACACGCGUUUUAUCACCCUUGACUUUGAGCACCUUUCGUUUCCUCGGCGGGUUCGCCCGCCAGCGAGGACCCCCAAAAACCUUUUGUAAUAGCAAUAUUCGUCUGAAAAACAACCAAUAAUCAAAACUUUCAACAAUGGAUCUCAGAUCGGAAGAG
Molecule: unclassified non-coding RNA, 240 nt
Filed under: soil metagenome
Description: partial contains 5.8S ribosomal RNA, internal transcribed spacer 2, and large subunit ribosomal RNA
Source: RNAcentral